UGCUGGAGGUAUCAGAAGUGCGAAUGCUGACAUAAGUAACGAUAAAGCGGGUGAAAAGCCCGCUCGCCGGAAGACCAAGGGUUCCUGUCCAACGUUAAUCGGGGCAGGGUGAGUCGACCCCUAAGGCGAGGCCGAAAGGCGUAGUCGAUGGGAAACGGGUUAAUAUUCCCGUACUUGGUGUUACUGCGAAGGGGGGACGGAGAAGGCUAUGUUGGCCGGGCGACGGUUGUCCCGGUUUAAGCGUGUAGGUGUGUGUUCCAGGUAAAUCCGGUUCACUUUAACACUGAGGCGUGACGACGAGGCACUACGGUGCUGAAGCAACAAAUGCCCUGCUUCCAGGAAAAGCCUCUAAGCAUCAGGUAACAUCAAAUCGUACCCCAAACCGACACAGGUGGUCAGGUAGAGAAUACCAAGGCGCUUGAGAGAACUCGGGUGAAGGAACUAGGCAAAAUGGUGCCGUAACUUCGGGAGAAGGCACGCUGACACGUAGGUGAAGUGAUUUACUCAUGGAGCUGAAGUCAGUCGAAGAUACCAGCUGGCUGCAACUGUUUAUUAAAAACACAGCACUGUGCAAACACGAAAGUGGACGUAUACGGUGUGACGCCUGCCCGGUGCCGGAAGGUUAAUUGAUGGGGUCAGCGCAAGCGAAGCUCCUGAUCGAAGCCCCGGUAAACGGCGGCCGUAACUAUAACGGUCCUAAGGUAGCGAAAUUCCUUGUCGGGUAAGUUCCGACCUGCACGAAUGGCGUAAUGAUGGCCAGGCUGUCUCCACCCGAGACUCAGUGAAAUUGAACUCGCUGUGAAGAUGCAGUGUACCCGCGGCAAGACGGAAAGACCCCGUGAACCUUUACUAUAGCUUGACACUGAACAUUGAGCCUUGAUGUGUAGGAUAGGUGGGAGGCUUUGAAGCGUGGACGCCAGUCUGCGUGGAGCCGGCCUUGAAAUACCACCCUUUAAUGUUUGAUGUUCUAACGUGGACCCGUGAUCCGGGUUGCGGACAGUGUCUGGUGGGUAGUUUGACUGGGGCGGUCUCCUCCUAAAGAGUAACGGAGGAGCACGAAGGUUGGCUAAUCCUGGUCGGACAUCAGGAGGUUAGUGCAAUGGCAUAAGCCAGCUUGACUGCGAGCGUGACGGCGCGAGCAGGUGCGAAAGCAGGUCAUAGUGAUCCGGUGGUUCUGAAUGGAAGGGCCAUCGCUCAACGGAUAAAAGGUACUCCGGGGAUAACAGGCUGAUACCGCCCAAGAGUUCAUAUCGACGGCGGUGUUUGGCACCUCGAUGUCGGCUCAUCACAUCCUGGGGCUGAAGUAGGUCCCAAGGGUAUGGCUGUUCGCCAUUUAAAGUGGUACGCGAGCUGGGUUUAGAACGUCGUGAGACAGUUCGGUCCCUAUCUGCCGUGGGCGCUGGAGAACUGAGGGGGGCUGCUCCUAGUACGAGAGGACCGGAGUGGACGCAUCACUGGUGUUCGGGUUGUCAUGCCAAUGGCACUGCCCGGUAGCUA
RNAcentral lists this ribosomal RNA (1497 nucleotides) under Salmonella enterica. RNAcentral describes it as "bacterial LSU rRNA". It matches the Rfam family "Bacterial large subunit ribosomal RNA", at positions 1271 to 2751 of the family's 2925-position model. The record is from RNAcentral. Lineage: Bacteria; Pseudomonadati; Pseudomonadota; Gammaproteobacteria; Enterobacterales; Enterobacteriaceae.